Molecule: long non-coding RNA, 1181 nt
Organism: Bos taurus (domestic cattle)
Lineage: Eukaryota; Metazoa; Chordata; Mammalia; Artiodactyla; Bovidae
Source: Ensembl
AGAGUCAUUAUCCCUGCACUCGGUGUAGCCCCUGCACCUCUGUGCUGGAGCCCGUGAGCCUCUCUCAGGCCGCGCCGUCCAGGGCACCCUGCGCACGGUUUUCCCGGGCUCCGGGGUCCCCUUGCCUCUCUUACCCUACCCCGCCAGGCCCGCGGAGGCUGCUCCUCCUCAGGUGGCCCGGCCGGGGCCUUCCCCCCGCAGACCUGUCACCCGACACCCAGGAAGCGCGCGGCCCCAUCCCGGCUCCUCUUUGUUCCCCCGCCGGGCUCCGCGCUCGGGCGCCGCCUCCUCCAGCGUCGCGCUCUGGAGGUUCUGGGCGCCGCCUUCGGGGCGGCCCGGGAGCUCCUUGGGUUCCGUCCAUAGGCCCGCUCCGAACCAGGGUGUCCUUUUUGCCUUGUUUCUCCGAUGUGGACUCCUCUCGGAGCUAGGAGGCGGCGGCGAGCCCAGCCCGGAGCCGGCGCAGGGAGCCUGGCACCAGAGGCAGGAGCCUCCACAGCAACUUCUCUCUAGGCAGCCGCUCUGGCAACCACUGAUGCAACCUUUUCAGCCCCUCCCUUGCCUCCCUGCCUCCUGCUUUCCUCUGCAGUUCCCUCGGAGCCAGACAGAAGCCGCUCCCCUUGUUAGAGAAUGCCUCCAGCUCCAUGCAUGCUGCCCCCUGGCCCUGGGUCUCCUGGCCCCCCGCCCCUCCUGUCCAGGCUUUUUCCUGCCUGGGUCCCAGCUGCGGGCCAGCAACAGAGAUGGCCAGCUUGCACAGUUCACAGUCUGGUCAGGUUUGGGAUGAGAGUGGCCGGUUUGGUUGGCCCCCUGGGGCUCCUCUGGCCACCGUGGGGCAGGCUGGGAAUGGGGGAUGGAGGAGACUGAGGCAUCUUGGGACGGGACUGCUGGUGUCCGCUCAGAGGCCAGGAGAGGCGCCCUGGGUGUCCUGCUGGUCACUGUUCAUUUGGGGCCUGGCAUGAUGGGCAGAGAGGAGGCUCCGGCAGCUGAGCUGGAUGUGGGCUGGGGGACAGGAGAGGGACUUCGGAGGGCUUUCAGGCCGAGACAGGAAACACCUUGAUCUGGAUACCGCCCCCCCUCCCCUCCCCCUCUUCAAAGCCAGGAGCUGGGCGCCUCUCCUCAGCUCAGAGGUCAUCUUCGGUUGAGACAUGGCUUGUGGAACUUGUGAAGGUGCUGGGUGGAACGAG